RNAcentral lists this ribosomal RNA (483 nucleotides) under uncultured bacterium. RNAcentral's name for it is "partial 16S ribosomal RNA". It matches the Rfam family "Bacterial small subunit ribosomal RNA", at positions 30 to 506 of the family's 1533-position model. The record is from RNAcentral.
AUUGAACGCUGGCGGCAGGCCUAACACAUGCAAGUCGAGCGGAUGAAGGGAGCUUGCUCCUGGAUUCAGCGGCGGACGGGUGAGUAAUGCCUAGGAAUCUGCCUGGUAGUGGGGGAUAACGUCCGGAAACGGGCGCUAAUACCGCAUACGUCCUGAGGGAGAAAGUGGGGGAUCUUCGGACCUCACGCUAUCAGAUGAGCCUAGGUCGGAUUAGCUAGUUGGUGGGGUAAAGGCCUACCAAGGCGACGAUCCGUAACUGGUCUGAGAGGAUGAUCAGUCACACUGGAACUGAGACACGGUCCAGACUCCGACGGGAGGCAGCAGUGGGGAAUAUUGGACAAUGGGCGAAAGCCUGAUCCAGCCAUGCCGCGUGUGUGAAGAAGGUCUUCGGGUUGUAAAGCACUUUAAGUUGUGAGGAAGGGCAGUAAGUUAAUACCUGGCUGUUUUGACGUUACCAACAGAAUAAGCACCGGCUAACUUCGU